GUACACGCUGUGACUAGCAUAUCAAUAAGCGGAGGAAAAGAAACUAACAAGGAUUCCCUUAGUAACGGCGAGUGAAGCGGGAAGAGCUCAAAUUUGAAAUCUUAAAGGGUUUCCCUUUACGAAUUGUAGUUUAAAGAAGUGUUUUCUGUUACGAUCAUAAUAUAAGUUCUUUGGAAUAGGACAUCAUAGAGGGUGAGAAUCCCGUAUAUGAUUAUGAUUUUGUAACUUUGUGAUACACUUUCAAAGAGUCGGAUUGUUUGGGAAUGCAGUCCAAAAUGGGUGGUAAUUUCAUCUAAAGCUAAAUAUUGGCGAGAGACCGAUAGCGAACAAGUACCGUGAGGGAAAGAUGAAAAGAACUUUGAAAAGAGAGUUAAACAGUACCGUGAAAUUGUCAAAAGGGAAGCGUUUGACACCAGUGUUGUUUUUCUGAAAAUCAAUUAAAGAACUGUUUAUGCUAAGUUGUUUAGACUUUAUCAGCUAUCUGUUUAGUUUUGAGCUUUUCUUUAAUGCACUUUUCAGUUAACAAGUCAACAUCAAUUUCUUUUGCUGUAAAAAAGCUUGAGGAAGGUGGCUUGAGAUUCGUCUUAAGUGUUUAUAGCCUCUUGCCUAUGCAGUCGGAGAGAUUGAGGUCUGCAGCGUAGAUCCUUCGGGGCUAAAUGCAUUUGUGCUAAGUUAUAGCAUUUUAUAGACAACUUGUUGACUAUGAUUUGUCUUGUAGCUUACUCGCUUAUGUUAUUUUACCUACGCUUAGGAUGUUGAGCGCAUGUCUCUCUCU
This 775-nucleotide ribosomal RNA is filed under the name uncultured Neocallimastigales. Its description in RNAcentral is "partial large subunit ribosomal RNA". It matches the Rfam family "Eukaryotic large subunit ribosomal RNA", at positions 22 to 616 of the family's 3401-position model. Lineage: Eukaryota; Fungi; Neocallimastigomycota; Neocallimastigomycetes; Neocallimastigales. The record is from RNAcentral.